Molecule: ribosomal RNA, 502 nt
Filed under: uncultured bacterium
Lineage: Bacteria
Description: partial 16S ribosomal RNA
Rfam family: Bacterial small subunit ribosomal RNA
Source: RNAcentral
AUUGAACGCUGGCGGCAGGCUUAACACAUGCAAGUCGAGCGGGGUGAUGGUGCUUGCACUAUCACUUAGCGGCGGACGGGUGAGUAAUGCUUAGGAAUCUGCCUAUUAGUGGGGGACAACAUCUCGAAAGGGAUGCUAAUACCGCAUACGUCCUACGGGAGAAAGCAGGGGAUCACUUGUGACCUUGCGCUAAUAGAUGAGCCUAAGUCGGAUUAGCUAGUUGGUGGGGUAAAGGCCUACCAAGGCGACGAUCUGUAGCGGGUCUGAGAGGAUGAGCCGCCACACUGGGACUGAGACACGGCCCAGACUCCUACGGGAGGCAGCAGUGGGGAAUUUUGGACAAUGGGCGCAAGCCUGAUCCAGCAAUGCCGCGUGCAGGAUGAAGGCCUUCGGGUUGUAAACUGCUUUUGUACGGAGCGAAAAGGCUCUCUCUAAUACAGGGGGCUCAUGACGGUACCGUAAGAAUAAGCACCGGCUAACUACGUGCCAGCCGCCGCCGUAA